UGUGAGGGGCUGACGUGGCUCUCUCUGCCUGAUGCCAUUUACAUACUGAGGAACACCCAGUCAGACUCUCACAGGCUGCAGCUUUAUAAAGCAGAGCCCAGUGAAGGGAGAGUUUAUCAGGAACCAGGCACAGUGACAGGAGCACACACCAUGAUUUCACACAUCCAGCUGAUCUGGCCCCUGGCAUUCUGUGUCGCAGGUAUCAGUGGGGACAUCAUCAUGAGCCAGUCUCCCCCGGUGCUGUCAGUGGGACUGGGCCACACUGCAACCAUCACCUGUACGGCCAGUCAAGGUAUUACAGAUGACCUCAGCUGGUACCAGCAGCGAGAAGGUCAGAAACCCUCUCUCCUGAUCUAUGACGCAAAAACUCGAUUCACAGGAGUCUCCAAUCGAUUCACCGGCAGUGGAUAUGGGACCAGUUUCACCCUGACAAUCAGCAAUGUUCAGAAUGAGGAUGUCGCUGACUAUUACUGUAUGCAGGAUUACAGCUACCCGCUUACGUUUGGUAAAGGAACCAAGCUCAGACUGAGUAAGUAAACCUCAAUCCUCCGU
Molecule: non-coding RNA, 552 nt
Organism: Chiloscyllium plagiosum (whitespotted bambooshark)
Lineage: Eukaryota; Metazoa; Chordata; Chondrichthyes; Orectolobiformes; Hemiscylliidae
Source: the annotation of a RefSeq genome assembly